RNAcentral lists this small RNA (562 nucleotides) under Histoplasma capsulatum. RNAcentral's name for it is "hypothetical RNA". RNAcentral also lists the same sequence under 1 other name. Lineage: Eukaryota; Fungi; Ascomycota; Eurotiomycetes; Onygenales; Ajellomycetaceae. The record is from RNAcentral.
AUUGGCCCCCUAAGGCCCUAGACAAGGACUGGGAACGGCUCAUUUGUGGAUGAUGACAUCAAGCGGCCCAAACUCCCCGGCGCAACAUCGCCAGUCGCAUGGUUGGAAAGUUUAAGUUUUUUAAGGCCAAACCAGUUGGUUUUCGGGUUGUAAACAGUAACUGCGAAUAUUUAUAUUAUUGCCCGGGGGGCGUCCAAGUGGUGCUUGCCGUGCGAUCCGCGAGGUUAUUGACGAUAGUUACUAAAUAAAUAAUGCAUUUCUGAAGGAGUGAAGGAGCCGAUGUUGAUUUCUAAGUAACCAACCGCAGGUUAUCCGUGGAAUCCUCCGCAACUUGCUCCAAGGUUGCAUUUGUUCUUCCCAGCCUCCGAUUGUCCUGUGCGUGUACAGUACAUACCUGGAUAUAUAUACGCUGUUUUAACGCAGUAUAUCGCGUUUACAUGUCCACUGAAAAGGGGCCCAGUGCAAGCCUUGGAUUUUUUUUUUCUUUUUCUUUCUUUUCUGUUGGUGGGGUGGCCUCAACUGCGCACUUCAUCUCCGUUAUUUCAUUCUCCAAGCUACAAAG